GUCAGAAUGGCCGAGCGGUCCAGGGCGCUGCGUUUAAAUCGCAGUCUUUUCUGGAGGCGUGGAUUCGAAUCCCACUUCUGACA
Non-coding RNA from Nothobranchius furzeri (turquoise killifish), 83 nucleotides. NCBI's taxonomy places the organism in Eukaryota, Metazoa, Chordata, Actinopteri, Cyprinodontiformes, Nothobranchiidae. The record is from the annotation of a RefSeq genome assembly.